ACUACGAAACCGCCCUCGAUACUGCUUGUCUUGAGUUCGAGAGAGGAUGAUGGAAUUCAUGGUGUAGCGGUGAAAUGCGUAGAGAUCAUGAAGAACACCGGUAGCGAAGGCGGUCAUCUGGCUCGAUACUGACGCUCAGGGACGAAAGCGUGGGGAGCAAACAGGAUUAGAUACCCUGGUAGUCCACGCCUUAAACGAUGGAUGUUCGGUGUCAGCCCGCAAGGGUUGGCGCCUGAGCUAACGCGUUAAACAUCCCACCUGGGGAGUACGAUCGCAAGGUUGAAACUCAAAGGAAUUGACGGGGGCCCGCACAAGCAGUGGAGCAUGUGGUUCAAUUCGAUGCAACGCGAAGAACCUUACCUGGGCUUGAACUGCUAUUGACCGGUGCAGAGAUGUGCCUUUUCGCAAGAACAGUAGCAGAGGUGCUG
RNAcentral lists this ribosomal RNA (428 nucleotides) under uncultured bacterium. RNAcentral describes it as "bacterial SSU rRNA". It matches the Rfam family "Bacterial small subunit ribosomal RNA", at positions 612 to 1043 of the family's 1533-position model. The record is from RNAcentral.